Molecule: ribosomal RNA, 646 nt
Filed under: Calothrix sp. MGCY463
Lineage: Bacteria; Bacillati; Cyanobacteriota; Cyanophyceae; Nostocales; Calotrichaceae
Description: bacterial SSU rRNA
Rfam family: Bacterial small subunit ribosomal RNA
Source: RNAcentral
CAAGUCGAACGGUCUCUUCGGAGAUAGUGGCGGACGGGUGAGUAACGCGUGAGAAUCUAGCUCUAGGUCGGGGACAACCACUGGAAACGGUGGCUAAUACCGGAUGUGCCGGAAGGUGAAAGAUUUAUUGCCUAGAGAUGAGCUCGCGUCUGAUUAGCUAGUAGGUGUGGUAAGAGCGCACCUAGGCGACGAUCAGUAGCUGGUCUGAGAGGAUGAUCAGCCACACUGGGACUGAGACACGGCCCAGACUCCUACGGGAGGCAGCAGUGGGGAAUUUUCCGCAAUGGGCGAAAGCCUGACGGAGCAAUACCGCGUGAGGGAGGAAGGCUCUUGGGUUGUAAACCUCUUUUCUCAGGGAAGAAAAAAAUGACGGUACCUGAGGAAUAAGCAUCGGCUAACUCCGUGCCAGCAGCCGCGGUAAUACGGAGGAUGCAAGCGUUAUCCGGAAUGAUUGGGCGUAAAGCGUCCGCAGGUGGCUAUGUAAGUCUGCUGUUAAAGAGUGAGGCUCAACCUCAUAAGAGCAGUGGAAACUACAUAGCUAGAGUGCGUUCGGGGCAGAGGGAAUUCCUGGUGUAGCGGUGAAAUGCGUAGAGAUCAGGAAGAACACCGGUGGCGAAAGCGCUCUGCUAGGCCGCAACUGACACUG